AGAGUUUGAUCAUGGCUCAGAACGAACGCUGGCGGCAUGCCUCAUACAUGCAAGUCGAACGAAGGCUUCGGCCUUAGUGGCGCACGGGUGAGUAGCGCGUGGGAACCUACCCUUUUGUGGGGGAUAACCGAGGGAAACUUCGGCUAAUACCGCAUACGCCGGGUAACCGGGAAAGAUUUAUCGCAGAAGGAUGGGCCCGCGUCGGAUUAGCUAGUUGGUGGGGUAAUGGCCUACCAAGGCAAUGAUCCGUAGCUGGUCUGAGAGGAUGAUCAGCCACACUGGGACUGAGACACGGCCCAGACUCCUACGGGAGGCAGCAGUAGGGAAUAUUGGACAAUGGGCGAAAGCCUGAUCCAGCAAUGCCGCGUGAGUGAGGAAGGCCUUAGGGUUGUAAAGCUCUUUCGGCGGGGACGAUGAUGACGGUACCCGCAGAAGAAGCCCCGGCUAACUUCGUGCCAGCAGCCGCGGUAAUACGAAGGGGGCGAGCGUUGUUCGGAAUUACUGGGCGUAAAGGGCGCGUAGGCGGCCAUCUUUGUCAGGCGUGAAAGCCCUGGGCUCAACCCAGGAAUUGCGCUUGGGACGGGUUGGCUUGAGUUCGGGAGAGGAGAGUGGAAUUCCCAGUGUAGAGGUGAAAUUCGUAGAUAUUGGGAAGAACACCGGUGGCGAAGGCGGCUCUCUGGACCGAUACUGACGCUGAGGCGCGAAAGCGUGGGGAGCAAACAGGAUUAGAUACCCCCGUAGUCC
This 744-nucleotide ribosomal RNA is filed under the name uncultured bacterium. Its description in RNAcentral is "bacterial SSU rRNA". It matches the Rfam family "Bacterial small subunit ribosomal RNA", at positions 8 to 796 of the family's 1533-position model. The record is from RNAcentral.